This 1268-nucleotide unclassified non-coding RNA is filed under the name Hevea brasiliensis (rubber tree). Lineage: Eukaryota; Viridiplantae; Streptophyta; Magnoliopsida; Malpighiales; Euphorbiaceae. The record is from RNAcentral.
GCUUUAUUUACUCAAAAAGAAAAUAUUUUUGAUGUUGCUAUGGUCUUUAAAAUGUGUUUUAAAAUUUUAAGCAUAGGUACUUUCGGCAGCUGAAAGUCCUUGUUCCACCUAUCGAACCUUUAAAAUCUUUUUUUAAAUAUGGACAGCAGCUAAAGUGGUAGCCGAAAGUCCCUAUUUUGGCUGCUGAACUUUAAAAAUCCUAUUUUUGAAAAAAAAAAUAGACUGAAGCAAGAGUGACAGUGGAACACCUUGGUUUCGGCUAUCGAACUUGGCUUUUUAAAACCCCCAAACUCCCUCUCUCUCUUCGACUUUUUGGCUUUCUCUCUUUUCUUUCCCUCUCUCAUUCCUGAAUCUCUCUUUACUCAGUUUCUUCAUCAAUUUUCCCUUGAGCUCAUUAUUUUCAAACCUUCCUAAGCUUGAUUUUACCAUAAUUUGCUGUUUUUAGAGCUACAUUGGACCUCCUUAAGGUUUGGCACUCCAUUUAAGUAUUUUUUUUUUCUUUCAAACUUUUUUAAAUUAGAAUCUACUAAACUUGUUUUAUGCUUAAUUUUUUAUGUUCUUCAUGUGACUUUGCUAAUUGUCAAUUUAUUGUGGCUCUUAGGAACUCUUUUCCAAAUUUUUAAGUUUCUUCUCCUUCGGGUAAGUUUUCCUAGUAAUUUUUUUUUUUUUUGUUAGCAUGCCUAUUUGGUUCUGUUGAGGUAUUUUGAGUAAUGAAAAUGGAUAAUUUGUUGCUGCUUAUUAUUAUCAAUUUUUGUUUUGUAACUUCUUGAAUUUGCUGCAAAAGUCUAUUACUUGAUUCACUCAAGUUAUAAGUGAUUUACCAAAUUGCAUUAUUUUUACCUUUGAAACUCAAAAAUCUUACAACAUAAAUAAAUAUAUAUAUCAAGAUUAUUUUUAAUAUAUCAAUUGUUAAAAUCCCUCAAUUCUUUUGAUACUGAAUUUCGCAACCUAAAAAUUUUGAUUAUGAGUUUAUUAACUUACUACCUUAUGUUCGCCUACUUGCUCUUGAUAUCUUUAUUGAAAUUUUUGUCAAUUAGCUCACACUUCCUACAUAUUUUUUCUUUUUGCCUUCUCUUUGGUUUUAGCCUGAUUUUGAGGAUGGUAAUUGUCAUUGCAACUUCUUUUAUGAUUCAAAAACUAGUAUUCUUGUUAGUGCCUUGAGUAUGCUCUUUUAGUACAACUAUAUUGAUCAUGUUUGUACCUACCUGAAAUAUUCUAUUAAACAUUACUCUGUUUUAAGUUGCUAUUUUUUUUUUUUUUGGUAAAAA